UUAAGUGACUAAGCGUACACGGUGGAUGCCUAGGCAGUCAGAGGCGAUGAAGGGCGUGCUAAUCUGCGAAAAGCGUCGGUAAGGUGAUAUGAACCGUUAUAACCGGCGAUACCCGAAUGGGGAAACCCAGUGUGUUUCGACACACUAUCAUGUCAUGAAUACAUAGUGGCAUGAGGCGAACCGGGGGAACUGAAACAUCUAAGUACCCCGAGGAAAAGAAAUCAACCGAGAUUCCCCCAGUAGCGGCGAGCGAACGGGGAGGAGCCCAGAACCUGAAUCGGCUUGUGUGUUAGUGGAAGCGUCUGGAAAGUCGCGCAGCAAAGGGUGAUAGCCCCGUACACUAAAAUGCACAGGUCGUGAGUUCGAUGAGUAGGGCGGGACACGUGACAUCCUGUCUGAAUAUGGGGGGACCAUCCUCCAAGGCUAAAUACUCCUGACUGACCGAUAGUGAACCAGUACCGUGAGGGAAAGGCGAAAAGAACCCCGGCGAGGGGAGUGAAAUAGAACCUGAAACCGUGUACGUACAAGCAGUGGGAGCACCUUCGUGGUGUGACUGCGUACCUUUUGUAUAAUGGGUCAGCGACUUAUAUUUUGUAGCAAGGUUAACCGUAUAGGGGAGCCGUAGGGAAACCGAGUCUUAACUGGGCGAAUAGUUGCAAGGUAUAGACCCGAAACCCGGUGAUCUAGCCAUGGGCAGGUUGAAGGUUGGGUAACACUAACUGGAGGACCGAACCGACUAAUGUUGAAAAAUUAGCGGAUGACUUGUGGCUGGGGGUGAAAGGCCAAUCAAACCGGGAGAUAGCUGGUUCUCCCCGAAAGCUAUUUAGGUAGCGCCUCGUGAACUCAUCUUCGGGGGUAGAGCACUGUUUCGGCUAGGGGGCCAUCCCGGCUUACCAAACCGAUGCAAACUCCGAAUACCGAAGAAUGUUAUCACGGGAGACACACGGCGGGUGCUAACGUCCGUCGUGAAGAGGGAAACAACCCAGACCGCCAGCUAAGGUCCCAAAGUCAUGGUUAAGUGGGAAACGAUGUGGGAAGGCACAGACAGCCAGGAUGUUGGCUUAGAAGCAGCCAUCAUUUAAAGAAAGCGUAAUAGCUCACUGGUCGAGUCGGCCUGCGCGGAAGAUGUAACGGGGCUAAACCAUGCACCGAAGCUGCGGCAGCGACGCUUAGGCGUUGUUGGGUAGGGGAGCGUUCUGUAAGCCGUUGAAGGUGGCCUGUGAGGGUUGCUGGAGGUAUCAGAAGUGCGAAUGCUGACAUAAGUAACGAUAAAGCGGGUGAAAAGCCCGCUCGCCGGAAGACCAAGGGUUCCUGUCCAACGUUAAUCGGGGCAGGGUGAGUCGACCCCUAAGGCGAGGCUGAAAAGCGUAGUCGAUGGGAAACAGGUUAAUAUUCCUGUACUUGGUGUUACUGCGAAGGGGGGACGGAGAAGGCUAGGCUAGCCGGGCGACGGUUGUCCCGGUUUAAGCGUGUAGGGGGUGUGACCUGGUAAAUCCGGUUACAUACUAACCCUGAGGCGUGAUGACGAUGCACUACGGUGCAGAAGUAGUUGAUGCCCUGCUUCCAGGAAAAUCCUCUAAGCUCCAGGUAACAUUAAAUCGUACCCCAAACCGACACAGGUGGUCAGGUAGAGAAUACCAAGGCGCUUGAGAGAACUCGGGUGAAGGAACUAGGCAAAAUGGUGCCGUAACUUCGGGAGAAGGCACGCUGGCAUGUAGGUGAAGUCCCUCGCGGAUGGAGCUGAAGCCAGUCGAAGAUACCAGCUGGCUGCAACUGUUUAAUAAAAACACAGCACUGUGCAAACACGAAAGUGGACGUAUACGGUGUGACGCCUGCCCGGUGCUGGAAGGUUAAUUGAUGGGGUCAGCCGCAAGGCGAAGCUCUUGAUCGAAGCCCCAGUAAACGGCGGCCGUAACUAUAACGGUCCUAAGGUAGCGAAAUUCCUUGUCGGGUAAGUUCCGACCUGCACGAAUGGCGUAAUGAUGGCCAGGCUGUCUCCACCCGAGACUCAGUGAAAUUGAACUCGCUGUGAAGAUGCAGUGUACCCGCGGCAAGACGGAAAGACCCCGUGAACCUUUACUAUAGCUUGACACUGAACAUUGAGCCUUGAUGUGUAGGAUAGGUGGGAGGCUUUGAAGCGUGGACGCCAGUCUGCGUGGAGCCAUCCUUGAAAUACCACCCUUUAAUGUUUGAUGUUCUAACUCGGCCCCGUAAUCCGGGGUGAGGACAGUGUCUGGUGGGUAGUUUGACUGGGGCGGUCUCCUCCCAAAGAGUAACGGAGGAGCACGAAGGUUAGCUAAUCACGGUCGGACAUCGUGAGGUUAGUGCAAAGGCAUAAGCUAGCUUGACUGCGAGAGUGACGGCUCGAGCAGGUACGAAAGUAGGUCUUAGUGAUCCGGUGGUUCUGAAUGGAAGGGCCAUCGCUCAACGGAUAAAAGGUACUCCGGGGAUAACAGGCUGAUACCGCCCAAGAGUUCAUAUCGACGGCGGUGUUUGGCACCUCGAUGUCGGCUCAUCACAUCCUGGGGCUGAAGUAGGUCCCAAGGGUAUGGCUGUUCGCCAUUUAAAGUGGUACGCGAGCUGGGUUUAGAACGUCGUGAGACAGUUCGGUCCCUAUCUGCCGUGGGCGUUGGAAGAUUGAGAGGGGUUGCUCCUAGUACGAGAGGACCGGAGUGAACGCACCACUGGUGUUCGGGUUGUCAUGCCAAUGGCAUUGCCCGGUAGCUAAGUGCGGAAAAGAUAAGCGCUGAAAGCAUCUAAGCGCGAAACUUGCCUCAAGAUGAGUCUUCCCUGGGCCUUUAAGGCCCCUGAAGGAACGUUUAAGACUAAGACGUUGAUAGGCUGGGUGUGUAAGUGCAGCGAUGCAUUGAGCUAACCAGUACUAAUGAUCCGUGAGGCUUAACCUU
RNAcentral lists this ribosomal RNA (2906 nucleotides) under Serratia marcescens. RNAcentral's name for it is "bacterial LSU rRNA". It matches the Rfam family "Bacterial large subunit ribosomal RNA". The record is from RNAcentral. Lineage: Bacteria; Pseudomonadati; Pseudomonadota; Gammaproteobacteria; Enterobacterales; Yersiniaceae.